Molecule: ribosomal RNA, 484 nt
Filed under: uncultured bacterium
Lineage: Bacteria
Description: partial 16S ribosomal RNA
Rfam family: Bacterial small subunit ribosomal RNA
Source: RNAcentral
AUUGAACGCUGGCGGCAGGCCUAACACAUGCCAGUCGAGCGGAUGAAGGGAGCUUUCUCCUGGAUUCAGCGGCGCACGGGUGAGUAAUGCCUAGGAAUCUGCCUCGUAGUGGGGGAUAACGUCCGGAAACGGGCGCUAAUACCGCAUACGUCCUGCGGGAGAAAGUGGGUGAUCUUCGGACCUCUCGCUCUCAUAUGAGCCUAGGUGGGAUUAGCUAGUUGGUGGGGUAAAGGCCUACCAAGCCGACGAUCCGUAACUGGUCUGAGAGGAUGAUCAGUCACACUGGAAGUGAGACACGGUCAAGACUACUACGGGAGGCAGCAGUGGGGAAUAUUGGACAAUAGGGGAAAGCCUGAUACAGCGAUGCCGAGUGUGUGAAGAAGGUGUUGGGAUUGGAAAGCAGUUUAAGUUGGGAGGAAGGGCAGUAAGUUAAUACCUUGCUGUUUUGACGUUACCAACAGAAUAAGCACCGGCUAACUUCGUG